Molecule: unclassified non-coding RNA, 294 nt
Filed under: fungal sp.
Lineage: Eukaryota; Fungi
Description: partial internal transcribed spacer region
Rfam family: Eukaryotic small subunit ribosomal RNA (bases 1-46)
Source: RNAcentral
AAGUCGUAACAAGGUUUCCGUAGGUGAACCUGCGGAAGGAUCAUUAAUGAAAUGAUAAUUUUUUGGGGUUUUCCCUGAAAAAUAAUUCACCUUUUGUGCACUGUUAUAAGAUAUACUUUGGUUAGUGCUUUGAUUUCAUUUUUUUUGAAAUCAACUUCUUGCUGACUCUAUCCUUCUGAGGACAGUUGGCUAUGAAGCGGCCUACCAAGGUUUUUUAUCAAACACUUAUAUUUUUGUCUGACCUAAAUUAUUAUAAUAAAAUCAUAACUUUCAACAACGGAUCUCUUGGCUCUC